RNAcentral lists this ribosomal RNA (301 nucleotides) under uncultured bacterium. RNAcentral describes it as "partial 16S ribosomal RNA". It matches the Rfam family "Bacterial small subunit ribosomal RNA", at positions 509 to 807 of the family's 1533-position model. The record is from RNAcentral.
CAGUAGCCGCGGGAAAACGGAGGGAGCUAGCGUUGUUCGGAAUUACUGGGCGUAAAGCGCGCGUAGGCGGUUACUCAAGUCAGAGGUGAAAGCCCGGGGCUCAACCCCGGAACUGCCUUUGAAACUAGGUGACUAGAAUCUUGGAGAGGUCAGUGGAAUUCCGAGUGUAGAGGUGAAAUUCGUAGAUAUUCGGAAGAACACCAGUGGCGAAGGCGACUGACUGGACAAGUAUUGACGCUGAGGUGCGAAAGCGUGGGGAGCAAACAGGAUUAGAUACCCCAGUAGUCCCUGUCUCUUAUAC